GGAGAGGUUCCCGAGCGGUCAAAGGGGGCAGACUGUAAGUCUGUUGGCUUAGCCUUCGAAGGUCCGAAUCCUUCUCUCUCCA
Molecule: transfer RNA, 82 nt
Filed under: Candidatus Aphodenecus pullistercoris
Lineage: Bacteria; Pseudomonadati; Spirochaetota; Spirochaetia; Spirochaetales
Description: tRNA-Tyr
Rfam family: tRNA
About the family: Transfer RNA (tRNA) molecules are approximately 80 nucleotides in length. Their secondary structure includes four short double-helical elements and three loops (D, anti-codon, and T loops).
Source: RNAcentral